AUGGCUGGUGGCGAUGCUGGAAACGCCCACCCGGCGGUGCUACAACCAGUGGGGGUGGGGACACUCGCUGAGCUGCAAAGGCCUACAGCACUGGACAUAUUUGUUUCGACAGGAGGGUGGGCAGCACCGGCGAGGGGCGCGCGGGAGGCUACUGUUGACAGCAGGGGCGUGGGGCGCGUGCUGCACGACGGCGGCGAGUGGAACUUCGAUCUGCCAGUGGGAGGGGCGCGGCCUUGCUCGAUGCGAGCGGACGGCUUUCUUUUGUUUCCUUUGGCGAAGGAAGAAAACAUUGCGGAUCCAAUCGAGCGGCUGUGGAUGCAUGUAUCGGGCGGCUAG
This 336-nucleotide ribosomal RNA is filed under the name Triticum aestivum (bread wheat). RNAcentral's name for it is "partial small subunit ribosomal RNA". The record is from RNAcentral. Lineage: Eukaryota; Viridiplantae; Streptophyta; Magnoliopsida; Poales; Poaceae.